Molecule: non-coding RNA, 1763 nt
Organism: Camellia sinensis
Lineage: Eukaryota; Viridiplantae; Streptophyta; Magnoliopsida; Ericales; Theaceae
Source: RefSeq, a predicted model, not a curated record
GAGAAAAUAUUUAUUGAAUUUGGAUUACAUGGGGGCGAAAAAUUUAAAUUUGGAACUACGUAGUAAAAAAAUUUCAACAGCAUACUUCUCACAAUAAUGGACUGACUCUAUGAGCAAUGACUACAAAAUGCACCGCUGAUGAUGGAGAUUGCCGUAAACUGAGGUUCUCCUGAAACCUAAGAGUCUGUGAGCCUUGCUCUUGACCUUAGAUACGAUUAGAAUCAAUAGCAAUGCUUUCUUCUUCUUGUUCUUCUUUAAGAAAUUAAUUGACGCGAACAAUAAAUCUCAUAACCUCUGAUUGAGAAAGCUUUGAAGUUGUUAUGAUAAUAUAAUUUUUGCAUUUUUCAAUUGAGGAUACCCUGAACUCAUAUUUGAUUGAAGUUAGUUAGUUAAUCAAUUAGGGAAAUGUGAUAUUAAUUUUACCAUUUAUAUAAAACGCAUCUAAAUAAAGUUUUAAGAGUGUAAUGCAUUCACAAAAUUAAAAGAUGUAGAAAGUGAUGAUGAUGUGACUCAAAGCCAAGAUCAUUUUCAAUGAAUCUGAAAGUUGAAGCAACAAUUUCAUUAAAUAUUUUUUACUGUCAAAGAUGAUCAGCAUAUGCUACUAGAUGAUUCUGUUGCUUUAAAGUCAUUUCCAAGUAAAGUCGUUUCCAAGAUAACCAAACACAUUAUUGUCUCUCUGCGUCGCAUCUUAAUUGGACAUUUCAAACUGUAGACCUAUUAACAAUGAGAAUAAAGGCAUUUUAAUAAUGAUUAGGUUAGGUGUACGACGAGUAUGUGGAAAAACAUGAACUCAUUGAUUAACUCCAAUUUUAGGGUUUUAGUUUCCUUAAGAAGGUAGUACAACUAAAUGCAUUAGUUAACUAUUUUGUGUUGUUGAAUUAAAACUGCUUCAAUUCUUAGGCUCUUGUGGAUGAAUUUGAGUUUUCUCUAUUGGAAAUUCUACAAGAGCUUGAAUUGGUUCCCACAUCUAGAGAACUUGGAUUGAAUGGUAGUAAAAUUUUCUUAAUGCCAUACAUUUUGGAUUUUUAGUUAAUUAAUUAAUUUAUUUCUCCGAGGUUUGAGUGCUUUAAUUGAGAGUCAUGAAAGGUGUUUCGUCACUGACAAGAGUCUACACUUGUACAUCAGCUAUAUUGUGUAAACAUAGCGGCAUACAUCCUGCAACCCUGUCAAUUAAAUGGAAAGAGGUUAAAGAACUUGAAAGCAGAAUUUCCUGAUAAUAAUAAGGUUUCUCAUUUUUUGUACCUAUAAAUUUGUAGGAAGAAACUUUCCUAGAGAUAAAACUACUAUUCUGCAUGGGUGGAUGAAUUUUAUAUGGAUAUAUUUCAUAUGAAUAACUCAUGGAUGUGGUAGUAGAAGAGUUCUUCUAUUUUUCCCUGUGGUAGUUUUGCACUAAAUAGUAUUUUAUGAUAAAUCCCCAGCAGAGGAAAAUUGGAUUGUGUGCACAAAGGAUUGAAUCUGCUCUCAAUUUCAAACUAUAUACUAGAACAGUAAUGAGUGAUCUUUAUUGAUCUCAAUGAUAUGGAAACUUCCAAGGUUACAAUUUCAGGAAUGACAGAGUCAUAACUUUCAUCUUCUGCAAGACACAUUAUGUACUCUUGCUCUGUUCUUUUAAAAGAACAACUGCAACAACAUGUUCGUGUGCAUGCAAUGGAAGCAGUAAUGGCUUGCUGGGAGAUUGAGCAAUCCCUACAAAGCUUAACAGGUCAGAAAUUUCUUGGAGAGAUGCAAAAUAUGGUCAAAGAAUUCAAGAACUUACUUUUUUC